Molecule: ribosomal RNA, 253 nt
Filed under: uncultured bacterium
Lineage: Bacteria
Description: partial 16S ribosomal RNA
Rfam family: Bacterial small subunit ribosomal RNA
Source: RNAcentral
CACGUAGGGCGCAAGCGUUGUCCGGAAUUAUUGGGCGUAAAGAGCUCGUAGGCGGUCUGUUGCGUCCGCUGUGAAAACUCGGGGCUUAACCCCGAGCCUGCAGUGGAUACGGGCAGACUAGAGGUAGGUAGGGGAGAAUGGAAUUCCCGGUGUAGCGGUGAAAUGCGCAGAUAUCGGGAGGAACACCAACGGCGAAGGCAGUCUUCUGGGCCAGUAUUGACGCUGAGGAGCGAAAGCGUGGGUAGCAAACAGG